UUUCUCGGUUUUUUCGCCAAAAACACUGGUUUUCGGUUCGGUUAACCGACCGCCAACAACCCUAGCAUAAAUCUCUCUUUUUCCUUGAUUUAUUUCGGAUAAUAAAUUUAUUAAUUAUGAAAUAAUUAGUAAAUAGGGUUGCCGUUUUUGAGUCCUGCCGAGAUCGAGUCAUUUUUUCGGGCCUCAUUUUUAUCGGACCGGCCCGUUCGAGUAUUUUUUGGGCCUACUUUUUUUCGGGCCGGCCGGUCGAGUCUUUUUCGGGCUUCAUUUUUAUCGAACCGGGCACCGAGUUUUUUGGGCCAAAAUUCGAUGUCCGGUUCGAUCUAUUGAACCGAACAAUUGAACCGAAACCGCCGGCUUUGUUGGUUUUACGGUCAGUUUUAUUGGUUUUACGGACUGAGAUGAUGGCUAACAGAGACAAACGGGGGCAUUUGAAUGGUUCCGUGAGAGGUGAAAUUCUUAGAUCGUGGCAUUUGCCAAGAAAAGCAUUUGCCAAGAAUUUCUUAAUCAAAACGAAAGUUAGAGGUUCGAAGGCGAUCAGAUACCGCCCUAGUUCUGACCGUAAACGAUGCCAGCUAGCGAUCCGUCGAUGGAAAUUAUAUUUCCUUGGUGGGGAGCUUCCCGGAAACGAAAGUCUUCCGGUUCCGGGGGAAGUAUGGUUGCAAAGCUGAAACUUAAAGGAAUUGACGGAAGGGCACCACCAGGAGUGGAGCCUGCGGCUUAAUUUGACUCAACACGGGGAAACUCACCCGGCCCGGACACUGUGAGGAUUGACAGAUUGAUAGCUUUUUCAUGAUUCAGUGGAUGGUGGUGCAUGGCCGUUCUUAGUUCGUGGAGUGAUUUGUCUGGUUUAUUCCGAUAACGAGCGAGACUCUAACCUACUAAAUAGUUGGUACAUACUCUUAGUGUAUACAGCUUCUUAGAGGGAUUUGCGGCGUUCAGCCGAAAGAAAUUGAGCAAUAACAGGUCUGUGAUGCCCUUAGAUGUCCGGGGCUGCACGCGCGCUACACUGGCAAAAUCAACGUGCUUGUCCUACCCUGAAAGGGGCGGGUAAACCAUUGAAAAUUUGCCGUGAUUGGGAUCGGAAAUUGCAAUUAUUUUCCGUGAACGAGGAAUUCCAAGUAAGUGCGAGUCAUCAGCUCGCGUUGAUUACGUCCCUGCCCUUUGUACACACCGCCCGUCGCUGCCCGGGACUGAGCCAUUUCGAUAAAUUUGGGGACCGUUGAUUUAAUUUUUCUAAAUUACUUUGAUGGAAACCAAUUUAAUCGCAGUGGCUUGAACCGGGCAAAAGUCGUAACAAGGUAGCUGUAGGUGAACCUGCUGCUG
RNAcentral lists this ribosomal RNA (1326 nucleotides) under Meloidogyne incognita (southern root-knot nematode). RNAcentral's name for it is "SSU rRNA". It matches the Rfam family "Eukaryotic small subunit ribosomal RNA". The record is from RNAcentral. Lineage: Eukaryota; Metazoa; Nematoda; Chromadorea; Rhabditida; Meloidogynidae.